AUUGGACGCUGGCGGAAUGCUUUACACAUGCAAGUCGAACGGUAGAGGGGGCAACCCCUCGAGAGUGGCGAACGGGUGAGUAAUAUAUCGGAACGUGCCCAGUCGUGGGGGAUAACGUAGCGAAAGUUACGCUAAUACCGCAUACGAUCUAAGGAUGAAAGCGGGGGAUCGCAAGACCUCGCGCGAUUGGAGCGGCCGAUAUCAGAUUAGGUAGUUGGUUGGGUAAAGGCACACCAAGCCAACGAUCGGUAGCCGGUCUGAGAGGACGACCAGCCACCAUGGAACUGAGACACGGUCCAGACUCCUACGGGAGUCAGCAGUGGGGAAUUUUGGACAAUGGACGCAAGUCUGAUCCAGCCAUUCCGCGUGCAGGAUGAAGGCCCUCGGGUUGUAAACUGCUUUUGUACGGAACGAAAAGGUCUCUCUUAAUACGGGGGGCUCAUGACGGUACCGUAAGAAUAAGCACCGGCUAACUACGUGCCAGCCGCCGCCGUAA
This 496-nucleotide ribosomal RNA is filed under the name uncultured bacterium. RNAcentral describes it as "partial 16S ribosomal RNA". It matches the Rfam family "Bacterial small subunit ribosomal RNA", at positions 30 to 523 of the family's 1533-position model. The record is from RNAcentral.